AAAGUGCUGAUGGUGUCGAGUGAAAAAAGCGGUGAAACAGAAGUGAAACCUCUUGCUUUCGGGCAAGGCUGGUAACGAAAUCUACUGACAAGGAACCGUGCCGGGAUUUAACGGAAUUGUUCGAACAAGGCCCGAGUAGUGCAGGAGAAUGAAGUUGGAUGCCAGCGUUUUACCAUUAGAGCUGGUAAUCACCGCUCAGCCACUAGUUGGGCUAUCCGGCUUGAAUAUGCAGCGGAACACUAUCCACAAAACGAUCUGGGAGGCGUUCAACAACGGCAAAAAGCCAGAAAGCGCAUCUAUAGAAUAUAAACUUCUUCCACCCAACCAUGAAUUUUCUGUAUCAAAACUAAAACACCAAUACUAUGAACGGUAUCACUCAAAAGGUAUCUUAAAACAAAACUAGAUGCUGAAAGAUUUGGAACGAUCUACAGUGGAGUGAGAAGCAGUUGCAGUGUGCUUCCAUUAUCCGGUAGCUGAAAAACUCACUCCUAGGACGAAAUACACGGCUAGCGGUAGUUUUAAUUCAAAAAGGUGCUAGCAUACCUCAAGGAGAUGAUUUUCUUGCUUCCGAUGGGGCAUCCAACCAACUGCCUCGAACUAGCGUGAAAUGAGCGACAGUUUUUCUCAGCGACACAUUUAUCCGACCCCAGCGCACGGGUGGCGUAGCGGCCAGUGUUGGAACUAAUUAAAACUGGAUAUUAUUUUAUAAAUUAAUUAAAUAAAUUAGAUUUUCAAUAUA
Long non-coding RNA from Wyeomyia smithii (pitcher-plant mosquito), 739 nucleotides. RefSeq lists it as uncharacterized. The transcript is spliced from 2 exons. NCBI's taxonomy places the organism in Eukaryota, Metazoa, Arthropoda, Insecta, Diptera, Culicidae. The record is from RefSeq and is a predicted model, not a curated record.